GAUGAACGCUGGCGGCGUGCCUAAUACAUGCGAGUCGAGCGAACGGACGAGAAGCUUGUUUCUCUGAUGUUAGCGGCGGACGGGUGAGUAACACGUGGAUAACCUACCUAUAAGACUGGGGUAACUUCGGGAAACCGGAGCUAAUACCGGAUAAUAUUUUGAACCGCAUGGUUCAAAAGUGAAAGACGGUCUUGCUGUCACUUAUAGAUGGUUCCGCGCUGCAUUAGCUAGUUGGUAAGGUAACGGCUUACCAAGGCAACGAUGCAUAGCCGACCUGAGAGGCUGAUCGGCCACACUGGAACUGGAACACGGUCCAGAGUCCUACGGGAGGCAGCAGUAGGGAAUCUUCCGCAAUGGGCGGAAGCCUGACGGAGCAACGCCGCGUGAGUGAUGAAGGUCUUCGGAUCGUAAAGCUCUGUUAUUGGGGAAGAACAGAUGUGGAAGUAACUGUGCACAUCUUGACGGUACCUAAUCAAAAAGCAACGGCUAACUACGUG
Molecule: ribosomal RNA, 497 nt
Filed under: uncultured bacterium
Lineage: Bacteria
Description: partial 16S ribosomal RNA
Rfam family: Bacterial small subunit ribosomal RNA
Source: RNAcentral